CAUUUUUUAAGUGAAGAAUGCCAUGUGGGAUAAACUUGUUAGUGUUAAUACUAUACCACAGAAAUGACAUGACUCCAUCUCUCAAUACUUCACCUAAUCUAUCCCCAACCCGAUUAUUUAUUUAUUUAUUUUAUGAGUUUUAUUAUCACUUCUUUUUAUUAGCAAAUUGCGAUUCUACUAAAAAGCCAUAUCGUUGUUUAAUUUUAAGAAGAUUAAAAAAUAUUCAUGAUAAUAUUAAUGAAAAACAACCUUUUAAUAUUCUAACACAACGAGUGUAUGAUAUAUUAUUCGUUUGAUAAAAACCAAAAUAAAAGGUUAUUUAUAUGGGCGUAGCCUCGCAUGCUCAUGCGUUUAGUUAGUUGUUUAUCUGCCAAGCUCUAGCUUUUUUAUAUAUUUUAAUUUAGAUUUAAAUGCAGUACAAAAAGCUUGACAUUAAUUUUUUAAUUAUUAUUAAAUUUUGUCAAGUUUUUAAAAUAAUAUUAUAGGUUUUCAUAUAAAUAUCAAUAUUUUGUUUCCAAUUUUUUUGUGCCUAACUUUAAUUUAAAAAAAUAUCAUGAAUAAUCAAUUAACAUAAAAUUUAUGUUUUUUGUUAAAAAAAUUUAGUAUAUUAUUUUUUAUAUAAUUUUAUUACAUUGAUCAUUUUUUUUAAAUCUUCAAUCAUAUAUAAAAUACUAAGGUUUUGUUUUAAUAAAUAGAGAUUUUAAAAUUUGCAUUUAAGUCCAUGCAGUACUUUUGUUUAGAAAACAAUGCUUGUGAUUUAUAAAGCGUCAUGACAUUGGUCAGGUCUUUAUUUUUAUUAUUUUUAUUAUAUUAUUAAAAAAAAAAUUAAUUUAAAAAUACAAUAUAAUUAAAGCUAGUUAGGUUCAUAACAUAAAUCAUAGGUUUGGCAUGUUAGAUUAGGAUGGUCGUGUCUAUUAAAGAUAUCAUUUGAUACUUUAAUUAUUUCUGUAUUUAUUGCAUAUUAAAUAUUUUGUUUAUAAUUUAAAAUUUUCUUGUAAAUGGAAAUUAUAUUAUCAACUCUUAAAUAUUUUUUUAUUUAAUAAAAUUAAUAUUAUAAAAUUGAACGACAUAACUUAAUCACAAUUUAAAACCUCUUUAAUAGAAAACAAAACCUACUUUUAAGAUAGAUGAGGGAUGAACCUGAUGGUUAUGGAUGCCCGCAAGUCAGAUUUUAUAAUAUUCAAGUAUUCAAUAAGUAUUCUUAUUUAUUAUUAUUUAUUAAAUAAUAAAAAAUAAAAUAAUUAAUAUAUAUAUAUAUAUAUAUUAUGUUAAUAUUGAAAUAUGUAUAUAUCAUAUUGUAUUUUAAAAAAAUUCUAAAAAUUAUAUAAAUAUAUCCAUAUAAUAUAUAUAUAUAUAUAUAUAUAUAUAUAUAUAUAUAUAUAUAUAUAUUUAGAGUUAAGUUGAUGCGAAUAUAAAGUCUAGUUUAAUAAUAUUAAUUUUCUAUUUAUUAUCUAUGAAUUAAUAUAAUUAUUCAAAAAAUAUCUAUUUAAUUGUAUUAAAUCAUAUCAAUAUUCAUCUGUUCGGAUUAACUCGUGAUCUCUGUUUUUAAAAUAAAAAAGCAAUGCGGGGUAAAUUGUUGUUGACAUGGCAGCGUUACCUAACCACAUUAAAGUACAUGACCCCAUCAAUUAACAAUAUCUUCCCAUUUUGUUUUCUGCAACAUUAAUAACAGCUUUAGCUUUGUAUCAAAGAAGCUAGGAAAUUAUACGUUCAAUGGAAUGGCAAUUUCAUGGAUAUUUAGUGUCAUAUGAUCCGGUUCAUCUAAUAUUUAUAUUUAUUAGGGUCAAAUUUUAGAUAGAAAUUUUUUAUUUAAUCUGAUAAUAGAUUAAAAAUAUAAAUUAACUUGUGAUUUAAUAAAAAAUCUAGUCAAAACUUAUCAAAACUUGAUAAUUUUUUUUAAUUUAUUUUUAAAUAAUUCUAUUUUUAUUUUAUUUGUUAUAAAAAAAACUGAAUUAACCUGUUAAUUUAAGUUAAUUCAUUUGAUCCAUAAUUUAAAACUUGUCCGCAUCAACCCGAAUUAGUUUAAAAACUAUGAUUUUACCUAUAUGCAAAUCCAUCCAGAACUCUUUUUUGUUUUUUGUUUUUUUUUCCAUCCAGAACUUGUUGUAAGUACUGAUGAAGCUUAGAAUAACGAGGAUGAAGAUUACUAUUUGUAGCUUUUUUUUUUCUUCUCAUUUUUGGGAUGAUGAAGCACCAUCCAAAAGCAAGGUACAAAAACAGAACACAACACAACCAUGCUGCAAGAAGCCAGAACAUAAACUGUUAAAACACUAGGAACAAAAUAUUUUCUUGAGGAAAAAAAAAACAGAGACAGAUACAUUUUUGUACAAAGGCAUGCUUAAAAAGCAUGGAUCCCUCACUGUUAUCUAGGACCAGAAAGCUGUUGUGCAGACAAGUAAGACAUUGAGGUGUGAGAACUACUGGUGCCACUGGUGAGGUUUGCUUGAGGGAACAAACCAAACUCAUUUCGCUCACUAGUACCUUCAAUUCUAGACGCCUCACUGAACCUCCUGCCAUAGAAUCUCAAGAAAUUUAACGAUUCCUGCCUUGGCUCAGCCAAAGGAGUUAUACCUUCCAACAUGCUAACAACGUUAACCAUUGUUGGUCUCAGCAGAGGAUCUUCAUGUAAACAGCACAAGGCCACCUUCACUAGCUUCUCAACCUCCUCGUUCGCCACCCGUCUUUCUAGCCUGGAGUCUGCAAGCUCCGAGUACCUUUUUUUCUCAUGCAUUUCUAGCGCGUGUAGGGGGAAAUACGCAGACCUAGGUUCCCAACCUGAAGAAGAUGAAGACGUGGCAUUUCCUUCGCUGCUAUCGUUUUCUAUGCUUCGACUUUGCGGCUGUGCUGCACUGUUUUUCCUUCCCCUUACAAUUUCUAGCAAUACCAUUCCAUAACUGUAAACAUCAGCUUUAUCUGAGAUCGUAACGCCCGCUAGCCAUUCUGGUGCAAGGUAGCCUCGUGUCCCUCUCAUUGUAGUGAAGAGACUGGAUUGUUCAGGGGUUAGCAGCUUCGAAAGCCCGAAAUCGGAGAUUUUAACCUGAAAAUUGUCAUGCAAAAGAAUGUUCUCUGGCUUCACAUCACAAUGGAUGAUCUUGCUCUCACAAUAACUAUGCAAGUAAGCAAGUCCCCUUGCGGUUCCAAGAGCAAUCUCAAACCUUUCUUGCCACUCCAAAACAGGUCCAUUACCGAAGAGCGUUCUGUCCAGUGAGCCUCUGUUCAUGUACUCAUAUACCAGAAACCUCUGUCUCCCUUGUGCGCAAAACCCUUUCAAUUUAACAAGAUUAACAUGACGAGUGCUUCCUAUAAUCGCAAUUUCGGUGCAGAAUUCCUUCUUUCCUUGCACACCGACAUUGGUGAUCUUCUUGACUGCCACAACGGACUUGUCAGGCAGAGUGCCUUUGUACACGGUUCCAAAGCCUCCACUACCAAUUUGAGUGCUAAAACUUUCUGUUGCAGCCACAAGUUCUUCAUAAUUAAACCUUACUGGCAAACCCGGGAUAGAAAUUAUCUCAAGCUCAGAUGAAGAAGAAUCGCCACGGCCUAAUUUCAACUUAGCAGUUCUAUACAAUCUAUUCCUUCUCCAACAAAUGAACCCUAAAACAACAAUGAUAAUCAAAAGGAUUCCAGAUGAAGGUAAUAGAACCAAACCUGCAAUUGGAAGUUUUGCAGAUUCAUUCACUUUGUUUGCACGCGAAGAUACAACUAUAGUCUUCACGUAGCCCAACCGUUUGCUGUUGGAGCUAGAGGCUUCCAUGAUAGACCCCAAAGGGUUUUCAAGAAGAUAACAAGAACCUGAGGAAUUUCCAUAGAAGAUGCCUAAACAAGAACAAUUUCGGGUGCAUAGAUCUUGGCAAGCUAAUAAAUUGAUAUCCCGUUUAGCAGGAGCCAUAAAACCAUUAGCAAAAUAAUCUAAUUCAGAGCCUAAAUUGACAUAGAAAACAGAAGAAUUCAAUUCUUUUUCAUUACUACAACCUGAAGGCAAAGCAAGCGAAUCAUCUGUCGGCGUGCAGCCACUUUUUGACAAAGGAUCACCAUGGAAAUUCGGUGGACAAGAGCAUCUUCCUGAACUGCAUAACCCCAUUUUGUUACAACUAAGAGGAAUCUGACAUUCAUCAGCAGGGCUCACAAAUUCCUGCACCCAAUUUUGAUCAACAAAUUUUCUAACACUAAACUUCCCAUCAAACCCUAACUUGGCAACUCUAAAAUCUGCAGGACCCAAAGUAAGCUUAAUCACAACAGUUGAUCUAUCACUUCCAAGCAAAAACAAACCUGUAUCAUUCAAGGAUAAAAAUGAGACAGGCACCUUUGAAUCCUGUGAACCUUUUGGCUCCCUUGAUAGCUUCCAAUAACUCAUUCCAUUCCACUGCAAAACAGCAUCACCACCAGUCACUACAAGCCUGUAGUCACCAACUGACAUGUCAUUCUCAGCGUUAUAAGAGUCCACUGAUGUCCCAACAGCCAAACUCUGUCCCAUGACAAUAGUAUCAGUUGGAUGAUCAAAACUCUCCCAUAAAGAAACAUUUUUCCUGUCAAGUAGUACAAGGUUUCCUGAAUCCCGAAGCUCCAUAGCAGAAACCUGAGAGCUUGGGCUUAAUCCUUCCGUUGACCAAACUACAGAUGUACUAGAAUUAUCAGUACUAUUAAUGGCAAGACCAUUUGUAGUCAAGUAUAGCUUAUCUGAAUCCGAAAUGGGGUGGUUCCUGUUAGCUAUCCAAAUGAUAGCAUUGGACUUAACAUGAGUGAUAAAGAAAUAAUAUGGAGAAUUCUCUGCGGAAUUGGAUAUGGAGGCUGUGAAGUUGCCAUUAGAAGAGAUCAAGAAAACACCAGACUGGUCAAUGAAUAGAAAAUGUGAAGCAGUGAAGGGUUGUUUGAUGGUUUGAACAGUGAUGGGGCCUGAGAUGCAGAGAUAAGGAAGCAGUGUGGAAGAAAAGAAGAGGAACAAGGAGGAGGAGCCCAUAAAGACAGAGAAACCAAGAGAAGAUUAUAGUAUGGGAUUUGAGAUUUGAUAAUCAUUUGUUUUUUUGAGGUGUUAGGAAAAAUUUAGAUUUUGAGAGUUCAGUGUUCACAUUUGACAAAGGUUUACUGUUUGAGAGAUGUGUGUUGACCCCAUGAGAGUUGCGGUGGAGGAGGUGGGCUGGCUGGUCAAUGGUGGGUGGCCGGCGGAUGAUAAAUAAAGGCAGCAAACAUGGAGGCAUAGGACAAGGUGAAUGUCAUUGAGUUGACCAAAGGGGAUGUAUUCUCAUGCCUCCACUUGACAAUAAUUAGUUGUUUGUUGGGUAAUUAAUUUCCAAAAUUAUAUGUUAGUCAGCUUAAAAAUUAUUUUUUAUGUUUGGAAAACAUUUCAUUUGCUAAAUAGAAAAUGUAACUAAGAAAUUAACUAUUAUAUCUAUCACACUGAGCUUCAAUUGAUUGUUUUAGAGUUUAAAAAAUAUAUUUUCUCUCUUGAUUUUUAGAAUUCAUAUUUUAGGAUUAAAAUUUAUUACAUUUAUUUGAAUGCAUCACUCCAGCAUAAGUACAUUCUUAAGAUUGCUCGAAGAUAAAAUUUAGUCUCAAUUAAAAUGUAAUCUGAUUUUAAAAUACUAUUAAUGUCAAAUAAAAAAAAAUUAUAUCACAAUAAUAAGGUGAUUGAUUUUAUAGAAAGUUUGAAGUCAUUUUUUGACAAUUGAUUAUACAUUAUAAAUUAUUUUUCAAGUGUUAGAAAAAAAUAUUUUUUUUAUUAGAUGAUUUAAACUAAAUUUUAAAUUCUUUUUAAAUGAUUGUAAAUAUUUAUUUUGGAGUCAUCAAUUUUAAAUUCUUUUUUAGAUGAUUUUAAAGAUGUAUUUUUCAAUUUAUUUAACAUAUUAGAAAGAAUUUAAUAAAUAUUUUUUAAAUACAAGUUAUAAGAUUUAAACUAAAAAAAUGCAUAUCUUCUUAAUUAACCACUAAUCCAUCUUCUUAAUUUUGUCUUACACUUGAUUAUAGUUGCUAAGAUAAAUGUUAUAUUUCUUCUUGACUGCAAUAGAAGAUAUUAAAAAUUAUUUAACAUUGAUGACCCAAAUGCUAAAUUAGCUUGCUCUCAAUUAUCAGCUUUGAUUUAAACCCAAAUGUAUCCAUCCAUGGAUCCAUUCACUGUUGAAAAGAAAAGUCAGAAUGAAGUGCAAACACGGGAAUUUAGCACCACAAAAGUAUGAAGGAAUAAUUUAGAAACCAUUAGACUUGUUGUUAUAUUUCAAAAUAAUAUUAUUAAUAUAUUCUAUAGUUUACGUAACCAUAUUUUAAUUUAAAUUAGUUAGAACUUGAAUUUUAUCGGGUUUUAAAUUAAAUUAGUUGAGAAUUGAAAGAAUGAAACCUGUUAAUUUAUUAAGUGUACUCAAAACUUGAUUGAUGUAAUUAAAAUUAAUUUAUUAUAUUUUUGAAUUUAAUUAGGAAGAAUUCAAAUUAACCAUCUUUGACCUAAGAACAGGGCUUUGAAUCAAGUGAUGACAGACCAAGUUCAAUAACUUUUUGUCAAAAAGCUUAGCAAAUUGAUCUGGCUAGGCUAAGGCUAGGGUAUGGAGCACAUGGAUGGUGCUGAGAGCCGACAAUUCUUUACGCGAAAAAGGAAAGUUUGACUGAUGAUUUUGGUUCCCAUAGUUUUAAGAUUUCUGUGUCCUACUCUCCAACUUGCAGAACACAUUAGAAGAUCACAGAUGCAACAAGGCCUCAACAGCUACCAUAACAUUGACUUUUGUUUUGCUCAUUAAUGAGAGGAUUUCUUAUGCUUGCAUUCUUUAAUAACCAUUAUGAACUGUCCUUCAAUAUGGGCCCAAAGACUUGAUUAGAAAAAUAUGACUUUGUGUUUUUUUUUUUUUUGAAAUUGAUGUCUUAUUGGAUUUUAUUUCUAUUUUUUGUUUUUAGUAUAUUAAGAAGCUGUGGUAUAAUAUUCUUGUAUUGCAAGAGAAUUAUGCAAUGUGAUUGUUAUUUUGAGUAAAUCUUUGCACGGGACAAACUUUAGUAUAUUGUCUUUAAUUUCAUCUUCUCAUCGUUUUCAAUAAUUUGGUUGUCUUUAAUAUAGGCUUUUUAUCCAGGGAUAUUUUUAUAAUUUCAUUUUCUUUGUAUUAUAAAAUGAUAUAAAUACCCUUAAAAAUUGCAAAAUACUAAACUUGCAUAAAGGGGUUUUUUAGACUUUAUAUAUUUUCUAUACAAUGAAAUUAUAACUCUGGAGUUGAUUUCAUGAAAAGUCAUUGCAUUUAGUUUUAUCAUAUAUGAUAUUAUAUAUUUUUUUAUUGAUUUUUUUGUUUGAUUUAAUAUUAAUGAAGUAUAUUAAUUAUGUAUAGAGCGAAUGUAAGUUUAGACUGUUAAAAAAUAAAUAGAUCCAUAAUUUGUAUUUAAUAAAAAUAAUUAUAUUUAUGAACUUGUUUUGGUUAAGUAAAUAUAUAAAAUAAUAAUAAUAAUAAUAGUUUAUAAUUUGAUAAUUAGGUAGUAUUUGUAUAGUCACAAUACACUAUACAUGUUUUGACCACAAUAUUUUGAAAAAAAGAAAGAAAGGACACUCUGAUAUUUAAACACAAUGCCCAGAUGCCAGCAAACACGAAAACAGAAAAGAAAAGAUGGGAGCCUCAAGACACAAGAUUUCUUAAACAUCAUGGGAACCCAGAAUAUGGGAUUUCUUAGGGGUUCUGGUGAUAAGUAUGCAGCUUCAUAACCAUUGUACAUAGGCUCAAAGCCAUUACAGCAACUAAAGAAACCAGAAGAUGUGAACUAGAACUCAAGUUUUUAUUGGGAGAUGAUAUUGAUCGAAGCCAUUAUGACCAUAUAUGACCAUGAAUGUGUGAGCACAACUAAAAUGGAAGACAGCCUUGUAUGUACAUAAGAAACUGUGUCCAAGAAAAACAAGCUAAAAGGCAGUCAAGUUUUCAUGUUUUAUGGUGGUCUUCGACUUGACAAAAAACCAUACAUCAAAACGCGUUUCCCUCCUCCUCCCCAACCGCAAGUGCAAAUUGCUAAAACCAUCGCGCCGCCAAUAAAAUGAAGACAGCUAGAGUAGUACUUAGAACCAAACCCAGCCAACCAUAUCACUAUCAGUUCAAUAAUCACCAAGCAUCCAUUACUAUGCACAGACCGGGGCUAAAGUGGAACCAAGGGAAACAAUCAUGCAAGUGAACCGGAAGAAGAGCAUAGUUGCCGGUGUUCAUGUAUUUUUCUUUGGCUAUGAUCUUUUCAGUAUACUUUCGAUGAUUAUCCAAAAAAAGCAUAGUUGCCAUUGUUCAUGUCAGAUGUUCAGCAACAGAACAAAGAGCCAGACACUUGGCACAUAACAGAUAUUUGAUAUUUUUUUUCUCAGAAUGUAAUGAUUUGAAGGAAUGAAGGGGAUAAUGCAGAAUCAUAUUGCGCAGGAUACAUUGUUGCGGCUGUGCAUGAAGCUGAAAAAAUCAACUCAUCAGUUGUCAGGUUACUGAGCAGGUAUUACUGAAGCCACUUGGACUAUGAGAAGAAGCAUUUGAUAAACAGAGGAAUCAAUAAGAGAGGAAGUCUUAAGAAAGGAAGCAUUAAAUGGUUAUGGUUGAGGCUAAUAAAUUAAAUUAAAUUAAAGGCAAACAGAGAGAUUCAGAGAAAGAGAAAUACAAUCCAUUAUUAUAUUCUCCUACCAAAACUCGACAAAGGGACGAAGGACAUCCUUGGCAUUAGGAUUCUCGCACUCCACCACUGACUCCGACCAUUAUUUUGGUUUUAUUUUCAUUCUUCUAAGAGAAGGGGGAGGAGAUGGUUGCCCUCUCUAUGCAUGAGACCAAGUGAAUCACAAGCCUGAAAAACACCAACGAGAGUCCUAAUUAUCAACUUAGCAGCCUCUCUAUCACCAUAAGCAGAACAGAGGACAUAACUGAAACAAUGUAAGAGUGAUUCAGAGUAUGCUUUCUUUCCUACCCUUAUUCAUUCAUAAAUAAGAGGCUUGUCAUCCUUCAAAAAGAUCACCCAGUAAUUAAAAGCCAUAAACUUUGAAAACAAUCAAACUCUCAAAAUUAAUUAACCUCGAUUUUUUUAGGGUUCACUCAAAAAUACUAUCCAUCAAGAAUAUAUGGAAUAUUCAUACAAAUCAAUCAGAAUUAAGACUAAUAAUUCAAAACUAAAACAUAUAAAUGUACAUGAAUUUAUUUUAAUAUACUGGUCAAGUUUUUAAUUAUUAUUUCAAAUAUUUCAUUACAUACAAUAAAAAAUAACAUCGUUUAAUAUUUUUUAAUACCAUUAUUUGCUUCUUUUUUUUAACCCUUAGCAAAGCACAGGCUCAAAGCUUCAUAGUUUUUGUAGAUGAGCCAAGGACUACAGCUCCAUUUAAUAUUUUUGAUUUUGAAUUUUUUUAAAAUAUUUUUUUAGCUUUAAAUUAAUAUUUUUUAGUAUUUUUAAAUUUUUUUGAUAUGAGGAUAUUAUAAUGAUUUUAUUUAAAUAAUUUUAAUGCAUUUAUAAAAAAAAUAGUUUGAAAAACAACUUUUACAACACUUUGAUAGUGAUUAAUAUUAUAGUAGCAGUUAUUUUUUAAAAUAUUUUUUUAUUUAAAAACAUAUUAAAAUAAUAUUUUUUUAUUUUUUAAUAUUAUCAUAUCAAAACAAUUUAAAAAUAAUAAAAAAUUAAUUUUAAAAAAUUGAUUGGACCGCGUAGGCUCUACAACUCGCAUCUUUAGCUUUAAGAUAACAUCAAGACCAUUAUUCUCUGCCUUCUCUCCCCAUUAGCAAUCACAGUUGCCAAAAGAAAAGGGUGAUUUCACCUACAAGUAGUCAAAGGAUUGGUCUUCUCCGCAAGAUUACGGAACCAAAUCAGUAGUGCAAAAUCAUCAGAUAUUUCUCCAAGGCUACUCUUGAUUUAGAAACCAUUUGCUACUUUCUCUUGGUAACUUUCCUGUUCUUCUUUGGUCCGCUUGUGACUUUUUGAAAGGUCUGCUGAACACAGGAAAAAGAGCUAACUUCUUCCAAAUGACUUCUAUUUUAGCUCUGUAUUAGCCAUGUAUACAUCAUAGAAACGAACUGUUUGAUGGUUAUGUUAGGGAAAAUAUAAUGGUUGUCUCGCAUGAGCAAGAAUGUCUAUAACAUUACACAGAUUAAAUCACAAUGGACUCCUCCAUUGUAGAAUGUUUGCAAACAGAACUGUAAUGCAGGAACCAUGCAUAGAUGAAGUUAGAAUUUUUGGAUUUGUUGACUUAGUGCGUGUUUGGCAUUAUGGUAGCUUACUUAUUACCUGCAAUUGAAUCCCCUGUUAUUAUUGCAGGCAUUUUGAAGGCUGAUCAUGAUUUCGAAAGUCCAGCUACUGACAGGCACUGUCUUCUUUUGGCUUCUACUAAUGGAGUAUUUGCAUGUUCUUCCAUGGCGUGGGCACUGAUGACUAUACAAGUCCCCUAUUUGACAGCUUUUUUUUUUCUUUUUUGAACAAUACAAGUUCCUUGUUAUUAUUGCAAAAUGAGUGCAAAGUCCAUUCGUUACUUGCCUACCAAUUGCUUUAGGCAAAUCUCAUCAAUUUCAGUAGAGCAAAUGCCUUAAUAAUAACUAUCUGUUUGAGGAUGUUUUACAAUGUCGAACAAGGGAGGGGAAACAAGAUCAUUAAUUCAUGUGUUUUUAGAAUACUUGGGGUUAUUGGAAAGUUGUUGCUUUUAAAAGUAUUUUUUAUUUAAAAAUAUAUAAAAAUAAUAUUUUUAAUUUUUAAAAUUUAUUUUUGACAUUAUUACAUUAAAACUAUUUAAAAACACUAAAAACUUUUAAUUUUAAAUAAAAUUAUAUUUCUUCAAAAUUUGAUGAAAAACCGCACCCACAGCCCCACGCAGCGUCAAACAGGGCCUUGACAAAAGAUUUUUUUUUCUACAAUGUUGCAAAAAUCAACUAAUAAUCAUAAUUCUUUUUCAUUGUAGUUGUAAAACUCAAUCUCACAGGUUAGUCUAACGGGUUGACUUUUAAAACUCAAGACUUAGAACCUAACCUGUACUGGGUAAACCGGCAAAGCCCUUACUCAGUAGCUCAUUUGGCCUCAAUCUGGGGAGCCAUUGUCUGACCCGAUAACUUAUUUUUAUUCUAUGCCAAUUUCUAGGCUGGAUAUGUCCUUUAAAUAUCCGAGAGGAAAUCGGAUUUUGUUCUGCCAAAUCUUUCGUUGCUUAAGAAUCUACUAUGAGCCAACAGGUUGGGAUUUGUUUUGCCUUUAUGCAAAUUGUUAUUGGCUUUUGUCUCCCUAAGGUUUUCAUUUAGAAAAAUCUUGACAUAUAGCAUAAUUUGAGAGGAAGGGGAGCAAAAUGUUGAACAAUUUCAAUAUCCAAGAUCCAUCAGAAAAAUCUCAUCCAUGAGAGAAGGUGAUAAUAUGAAUUCCAAAGAAAAUCACUACGUUUUAGAAAUAACUGUUGAAGUCUUUUUUUAUCAGUGAUCUGAAUAAAAGAACCCAAUAUUGGUUUAGAUUAAUUAUUUAUUUACUUUAAUUACAAGGUAAAGCAUAUAAAUUCUAUAUCAUAUGUCUCUCAUCGAUGAUCUCAUGAAUUUUGCUGAUGGAUCUCGUUAGAGUUUGAAAAGCAAAUAAUUAUUCUAGCUUCUAACUUGUUAAGAAAGAGGGAGAGAUACAAUUCUUUUUAUUCAUCAUUCUCAUUAUAUAUGGGGAGAAAAAGGUUACAGAGUAAUUAAAAUCUAAUUCAUGAAUAUGUUGGGGAAAUCCGACCAGUGAUGUACUGAUAUUUGUUCAUUGAAGGCUAAACACACUAACACAAUAUUUAACGUGAUUCGGCAAACCGUCUACAUCCACAGGAGAGUCAAUAUUAUUAGAGAUAGAUAGAGAAAGGGUUACAACACAAAUGCAUGGAGGAAGAGGAUCACUUCACUCUACUCUACUCCCAACUCUCAUUGCUGCACUUGCAGCAGCCAUUGUAGCUCUUCUCUCUUUCUCUCUUCACAUAUUCUCUACCUUCUCAUUCUCAUUUUGCUCUCAAAUAAUACCUCUAUUUAUAAGCAUUUCAUGGCAGACAAUUAUGAGCAUUUUUGUGCUGGAAUGGAAUAGAUAUGGCUUCUCAAUCUCUGAGUUCCAGUUGGGUAGAUAUCUUGGUGUGCCUCUCAUUAGUGGAAAGCUAAGUGAUGUUGAUUGCAUGCUGCUCCUGGAAAAAAAUAAAAAAAAUAAUUACUGUUCAUUUCUUACGGGCUUGAAACCAAGUUCAUUGGGAAAUGCAGAGCUAAUUUCAACCCAAAAAUUUGCUUAUCAUUUUUAGUGAAUAAUGAAAUAGAUGAUGAUUAACACAGAUGAUGAUUGACAGUGAUCAUUGAAAUAAUGAAGGAGGUUACAAUCAAAGAACACCCAGAGUGAUACAGGAUGAACAAUCAAGUUGAACAGUAGGUGCAUCAAAGUCUAGACAACACUUACGGAAAGAAGUCUGACGCAGGAGAUUCUAGAGGAGCUGGGCUAUCACAUACGUAGUUGAUAGCUUUGAACUACCUUGACAUGGCAGACCAGUGCAGGGAUGGAAGGACACAAGAGUUUGGGUCCGAUUUGAGGAUGUUUUUGCACACUAUGAAACAAUAAGUUGUCAGGCUU
RNAcentral lists this long non-coding RNA (12501 nucleotides) under Populus tremula. RNAcentral describes it as "long non-coding RNA (PTRE_LNC001721)". The record is from RNAcentral. Lineage: Eukaryota; Viridiplantae; Streptophyta; Magnoliopsida; Malpighiales; Salicaceae.